This is a non-coding RNA of Camellia sinensis, 628 nucleotides long. The record is from RefSeq and is a predicted model, not a curated record. Lineage: Eukaryota; Viridiplantae; Streptophyta; Magnoliopsida; Ericales; Theaceae.
CAAUGGUGAGGUUAUGAAAUGGAUAGAGUUUGCAGAGAAUUUUUCAGUAGAUUCUGAGGCUUGUUUAUCUCUCAACGAGUUAAAUGGAUGCUUGGCUUCAAAGUCUGUUCUUGUGGGGGAGGGGCUGACACCCUCUGAAGCUGAUAUUAUUGUCUUCUCAGCACUUUAUUCCUAUGUGUUAGGGGACCGGUGAAUGUUAUAUUGUCAUUCAGCUCUACAUUUCUUCUACUUUGCUCAAAAUCAAAUUUUGUACAAAGAUAUGUGCCUUUUCUUUCUUUUAUACUUCUAAGUUGAAAAAAAGGGAUGCCUUAGUGAAUGAACAAUGAAACCUUUUAAAGGCUGAGGGACAUAAAUAGGAAAAAGACAUUGUCUGUGUUUGGUUAGACUUUCAAAGUGUGAUUCCACCCUUUGGUUUUAGUAUGGUGUUUGUUUACUGUUUUCAAAAAUUGAUUCCAUACUCACUUUUCAAAACACGUCUACCCAGUCAUCCUCCUGGACGUCCCCAGACGUUCGGGCGGUUGACCGGAACAGUGUUCGGGUUUUUUUUUUUUUUGGACCUGUUAUUUUUAUAUUUUAAAUAAAAAAUAUUUUGGAAAUUUUUAAAUUUUUUUUAUGAGCUUUGAAUAGA